RNAcentral lists this ribosomal RNA (802 nucleotides) under Sordariomycetes sp. TC204. RNAcentral's name for it is "eukaryotic LSU rRNA". The stretch from base 485 to 802 matches the Rfam family "Eukaryotic large subunit ribosomal RNA", at positions 1 to 325 of the family's 3401-position model. Lineage: Eukaryota; Fungi; Ascomycota; Sordariomycetes. The record is from RNAcentral.
GCGCCCCUGGCGCACCCAGAAACCCUUUGUGAACUUAUACCUUACUGUUGCCUCGGCGCAGGCCGUCCCCUACGGGGUCCCUUUUGUCUCAAAAGGAGCAGCCGGCCGGUGGCCAAAUCAACUCUGUUUUUACACUGUAACUCUGAGUACAAAACAUAAAUGAAUCAAAACUUUCAACAACGGAUCUCUUGGUUCUGGCAUCGAUGAAGAACGCAGCGAAAUGCGAUAAAUAAUGUGAAUUGCAGAAUUCAGUGAAUCAUCGAAUCUUUGAACGCACAUUGCGCCCUCUGGUAUUCCGGAGGGCAUGCCUGUUCGAGCGUCAUUUCAACCCUCAAGCCUGGCUUGGUGUUGGGGCACUGCUUUUUCCGAAGAGCAGGCCCUGAAAUAUAGUGGCGAGCUCGCCAGGACUCCGAGCGUAAUAGUUAAACCCUCGCUCUGGAAGGGCUGGCGGUGCCCUGCCGUUAAACCCCAACUUUUGAAAAUUUGACCUCGGAUCAGGUAGGAAUACCCGCUGAACUUAAGCAUAUCAAUAAGCGGAGGAAAAGAAACCAACAGGGAUUGCCCUAAUAACGGGAGUGAAGCGGCAACAGCUCAAAUUUGAAAUCUGGCCUCGGCCCGAGUUGUAAUUUGCAGAGGAUGCUUCUGGCGCGGUGCCUUCCGAGUUCCCUGGAACGGGACGCCACAGAGGGUGAGAGCCCCGUAUGGUCGGACACCAAGCCUGUGUGAAGCUCCUUCGACGAGUCGAGUAGUUUGGGAAUGCUGCUCUAAAUGGGAGGUAAAUCUCUUCUAAAGCUAAAUACCG